Molecule: ribosomal RNA, 253 nt
Filed under: uncultured bacterium
Lineage: Bacteria
Description: partial 16S ribosomal RNA
Rfam family: Bacterial small subunit ribosomal RNA
Source: RNAcentral
UACGUAGGGGGCUAGCGUUGUCUGGAAUCAUUGGGCGUAAAGCGCGUGUAGGCGGCCCGAUAAGUCCGCUGUGAAAGUCCAGGGCUCAACCCUGGGAUGCCGGUGGAUACUGUCGGGCUCGAGUCCGGAAGAGGCGAGUGGAAUUCCUGGUGUAGCGGUGAAAUGCGCAGAUAUCAGGAGGAACACCAAUGGCGAAGGCAGCUCGCUGGGACGUGACUGACGCUGAGACGCGAAAGCGUGGGGAGCGAACAGG